Molecule: ribosomal RNA, 504 nt
Filed under: uncultured soil bacterium
Lineage: Bacteria
Description: bacterial SSU rRNA
Rfam family: Bacterial small subunit ribosomal RNA
Source: RNAcentral
AGAUUGAACGCUGGCGGCAGGCCUAACACAUGCAAGUCGAGCGGUAGAGAGGUGCUUGCAUCUCUUGAGAGCGGCGGACGGGUGAGUAAUGCCUAGGAAUCUGCCUAGUGGUGGGGGAUAACGUUCGGAAACGGACGCUAAUACCGCAUACGUCCUACGGGAGAAAGCGGGGGACCUUCGGGCCUCGCGCCAUUAGAUGAGCCUAGGUCGAUUAGCUAGUUGGUGAGGUAAUGGCUCACCAAAGGCGACGAUCCGUAACUGGUCUGAGAGGAUGAUCAGUCACACUGAACUGAGACACGGUCAGACUCCUACGGAGGCAGCAGUGGGGAAUAUUGGACAAUGGGCGAAAGCCUGAUCAGCCAUGCCGCGUGUGUGAAGAAGGUCUUCGGAUUGUAAAAGCACUUUAAAGUGGAGGAAGGGUUGUAAACCGUAAUAACGUUGACAACUUUGAACGUUACCGAACAGAAAUAAAGACACCGGACUAACUUCGUGCCAGCAGCCGUA